AAUGGACAGGACAAAGGAUUGUGAUCCCGACAGGGUAAGCUAACUCCAAAAACACGUCCUUAGUUCAGAUUGUAGGCUACAACUCACUUGCAUGAAG
Glycine soja is the source of this 97-nucleotide non-coding RNA. The record is from Rfam. Lineage: Eukaryota; Viridiplantae; Streptophyta; Magnoliopsida; Fabales; Fabaceae.